This 69-nucleotide transfer RNA is filed under the name Ithaginis cruentus. RNAcentral's name for it is "tRNA-Ala". It matches the Rfam family "tRNA". Rfam says of the family: Transfer RNA (tRNA) molecules are approximately 80 nucleotides in length. Their secondary structure includes four short double-helical elements and three loops (D, anti-codon, and T loops). The record is from RNAcentral. Lineage: Eukaryota; Metazoa; Chordata; Aves; Galliformes; Phasianidae.
AAGGUCUUAGCUUAAUUAAAGCAUCUGGUUUGCAUUCAGAAGAUACAGGUUAAUGUCUUGUAGGCCUUA